RNAcentral lists this ribosomal RNA (679 nucleotides) under bacterium ocnta120lb754offnp11.20. RNAcentral describes it as "bacterial SSU rRNA". It matches the Rfam family "Bacterial small subunit ribosomal RNA", at positions 51 to 718 of the family's 1533-position model. The record is from RNAcentral.
ACACAUGCAGUCGAGCGGUAACACAAGGGAGCUUGCUCCCCUNGAGGUGACGAGCGGCGGACGGGUGAGUAAUGCCUAGGGAUCUGCCCAGUCGAGGGGGAUAACAGUUGGAAACGACUGCUAAUACCGCAUACGCCCUACGGGGGAAAGGAGGGGACCUUCGGGCCUUCCGCGAUUGGAUGAACCUAGGUGGGAUUAGCUAGUUGGUGAGGUAAUGGCUCACCAAGGCGACGAUCCCUAGCUGUUCUGAGAGGAUGAUCAGCCACACUGGGACUGAGACACGGCCCAGACUCCUACGGGAGGCAGCAGUGGGGAAUAUUGCACAAUGGGGGAAACCCUGAUGCAGCCAUGCCGCGUGUGUGAAGAAGGCCUUCGGGUUGUAAAGCACUUUCAGUAGGGAGGAAAGGUGAUGUGUUAAUAGCACAUUGCUGUGACGUUACCUACAGAAGAAGGACCGGCUAACUCCGUGCCAGCAGCCGCGGUAAUACGGAGGGUCCGAGCGUUAAUCGGAAUUACUGGGCGUAAAGCGUGCGCAGCGGUUUGUUAAGCCAGAUGUGAAAUCCCCGGGCUCAACCUGGGAAUUGCAUUUGGAACUGGCGAACUAGAGUCUUGUAGAGGGGGGUAGAAUUCCAGGUGUAGCGGUGAAAUGCGUAGAUAUCUGGAGGAAUACCGGUGGCGA